UCAGUCAGUACAGCAGCAUGUAAGACUGAGAGAGACUGCAUAUGGAUAUGUGUGUUAGUGUGUGUGUAUGUGUUUAUCUCCGCCACUAGAUGUGUGUAGUUUAAUUUGAAUGUAGUAAAUAACCUGGUAAAUUGCCUGUGGCAUUCUAAUGAAGUGUGGAGUGUGUGCAUGUGGAUCUUUGUGGUCGAGAAGUAUACUGUAAAUAGUGAGUGGAUGGAUGGGUCAAGGAGAAACUGCAGGGGUGGAUGGACAAACAUUUAUCUACCGGGAUGAGGUCUAACAGUUAGCUCCCUUCCCCCUGUACUGACCUGCAAGAUCUGAACUGAACUCCUAGACAACAGUCUGUUACAAUAAGUUUGUAAAACAUUUAAAAAAUAAAACACAAAAUAAAUAAUUUAAAUAUCAUAAUAUCAUAAUAUUAUUAAAAUAAAAAUGCAUUUGUCACAUGCCAGCUGUGUUUAACAUGUCUUAACUGUAUCCAGACUCAGCAGGAGAUUGUUCAUGUAGUUCUUAAGCCUUUGCAGAACUGCCGGACACAAAGUGAGGCUGUAGGUUCGGUUGUCCUUCAGGAAGAGGUCCAAGUCCUGGAACGAGCUUGGCGUUCUGGCAGGGCACUGCAGGGAUGUCAUCUCCCUCUCCAGGUGGCCACGGAGUGUGCUGAGGUCCACGGAGAGCUGCGAUUUGGGACCCCACAGGCUGUCCACAAUCCUCCGAAAGGCCAUCAGGGAAUCGAUAGCUGACCCCAGGCCCUGGAUGGGCUUGGUACCCGGGACCACGUCUGAGAGCUCGAAACUGAGUCUUUGGGAUAUGGGGUACUGUGGGAUAAGAUAUGAAAGGACUGCCAGGAAGAGAACCAGUGAGCUCCCCAGUAAUCUUGGAGGGGAGUGAUUUUGCAUGUACCCUCGUCCAAAUUAUUUCAGCUCUGCUGACUUCACCCUGUGAGAGAGACUCUUAGAGGUCAACAACUGAGGCAGUGGCUUCUUGGAAAUUUAGUUCAUGGAGCAGUUUGGCCACCCACCUUUGUCCACUUCAGCGUCCUCCACAGUCUCCCUCUCCUGUUCAUGUAACGUCUUAACAGUGUCGUGAUUGACAGCUGCUGCGCUCCUACAAGGACCGUCAUCUGGCAUUGCCGCCUCUACACCCACGACAAUCCAGACUAUUUUCAUUUGUGGUCCCCGAUGGUGGAACAAACUACCAAGUGCCACCAAAACAGGAGUCCCUCUUUCUUCAAAAAGCUCUUGAAGACCCAACUCUUCCAAGGAUACUUCCUCUCCUAACACUUCCAACAACCUAACACACCUACUAUGCACUUCCCUUCCUUUCCUCUUCUACCUCCUUCUUCUACCACUUUCUCUCCUACCACACUUUGACUAGCACUGUACUUAAAGGGCGCUGGUCAUAUAAUUAGAAUAUCAUGAAAAAGUUGAUUUAUUUCAGUAAUUCCAUUCAAAAAGUGAAACUUGUUUAAUGUGUACAUUCAUUCCAC
Alosa sapidissima (American shad) is the source of this 1486-nucleotide long non-coding RNA. RefSeq lists it as uncharacterized. The record is from RefSeq and is a predicted model, not a curated record. Lineage: Eukaryota; Metazoa; Chordata; Actinopteri; Clupeiformes; Clupeidae. The transcript has 5 exons.